CCUACGGGAGGCAGCAGUGAGGAAUAUUGGUCAAUGGGCGAGAGCCUGAACCAGCCAAGUCGCGUGAAGGAUGACGGCCCUACGGGUUGUAAACUUCUUUUGUCAGGGAGCAAUUGAGUCCACGUGUGGUCUUAGCGAUAGUACCUGAAGAAAAAGCAUCGGCUAACCCCGUGCCAGCAGCCGCGGUAAUACGGAGGAUGCGGGCGUUAUCGGGUUUUAUUGGGUUUAAAGGGUGCGUAGGCGGUAUAUCAAGUCAGCGGUAAAGAUUGGGGGAUCAACCCAGUCGUGCCGUUGAAACUGAUGGUCUUGAGUGGGAUAGAAGUAGGCGGAAUGCGUGGUGUAGCGGUGAAAUGCAUAGAUAUCACGCAGAACUCCGAUUGCGAAGGCAGCAUACCGGGGCCCAACUGACGCUGAAGCACGAAAGCGUGGGUAUCGAACAGGAUUAGAUACCCCGGUAGUC
RNAcentral lists this ribosomal RNA (460 nucleotides) under uncultured bacterium. Its description in RNAcentral is "partial 16S ribosomal RNA". It matches the Rfam family "Bacterial small subunit ribosomal RNA", at positions 338 to 795 of the family's 1533-position model. The record is from RNAcentral.